CCUUUGAGCCAUAGACGACAAUUUAAACUCCGAAGAUCUUUAAAAGCAUUAUCUAACGGGGAGUUUAAAUUAACAAGUAUUCGUAAUUUGUAAUAUUACGAGAAUACUUGAAAAAGUCUAAAGCGAAGCACGCUUAUAAGGCUUUAUUUACUCCAACCAAAUACUUAUCUUUAGUAUUGGAGUAAGUUAAAAAGUAUACUUAUAUUUUUCUAUAUCCUUAGGAAAGUAUACUUUAAAUAUAUAUAUCACCAAUAUAUAUAUAUAUACACUAUCGGCCUAGUCGUGUCUAGUCCAAAACUCUUUUUAUAAACAAGGAUUAUUUGUCGUAGAUAUUGUUUUCUAAGUUUUGCAGUGAG
Molecule: long non-coding RNA, 356 nt
Filed under: Daucus carota (carrot)
Lineage: Eukaryota; Viridiplantae; Streptophyta; Magnoliopsida; Apiales; Apiaceae
Description: long non-coding RNA (DCAR_LNC005057)
Source: RNAcentral